This 207-nucleotide ribosomal RNA is filed under the name uncultured bacterium. Its description in RNAcentral is "partial 16S ribosomal RNA". It matches the Rfam family "Bacterial small subunit ribosomal RNA", at positions 568 to 774 of the family's 1533-position model. The record is from RNAcentral.
CUUGUAGGCGGUUGGUCGCGUCCGCCGUGAAAUCCUCUGGCUUAACUGGGGGCGUGCGGUGGGUACGGGCUGACUUGAGUGCGGUAGGGGAGACUGGAACUCCUGGUGUAGCGAUGGAAUGCGCAGAUAUCAGGAAGAACACCGGUGGCGAAGGCGGGUCUCUGGGCCGUUACUGACGCUGAGGAGCGAAAGCGUGGGGAGCGAACA